GCGAGCAUCGUAAAAUUUCACUCUCAUCAAUUUUUCAUAAUGCGCCAAAAGAAGUAUAACUUCAAAAAGUCAGCGUUUUACUAACUACUGAGCAGUUACAUUAUUAAGAGCAAAGACCUCUUUCAUUUAAUUUGACAUAAAUUCCAAGAACAAGGUCGUUAUAAAAAUAUUACUUAAUGAUUUAUUAAUUAAAUCAUUUGUAGUUAGUGUCAUAAUAAACGUAGUGAUGAACGCAGUUAUGGUCGCGAAGAUUAUUAUUUCGACAUUGCUGCUAAUCUGUGUACAACUGUCAAGACAAAUGCCACAGAUGCAAGCCACAACACAGACGAACGUUACCAAAUUAGGAAAUGGUACAGAUGGACUGUCGUGCGUAACUGGCAAGGCAGACAAUGGCAUCUGCAUAAAACGAAACAUCUGUGACUAUGGUACACCUGCCAUAGACUUUACUUUAUAUUCUAAACAUGGAUAUAUAAGGUAUUUUCAUAUUAUCUAUUUAAA
This is a long non-coding RNA of Pieris napi, 498 nucleotides long. RefSeq lists it as uncharacterized. The transcript is spliced from 3 exons. NCBI's taxonomy places the organism in Eukaryota, Metazoa, Arthropoda, Insecta, Lepidoptera, Pieridae. The record is from RefSeq and is a predicted model, not a curated record.